AACGAACGCUGGCGGCAUGCCUAACACAUGCAAGUCGAACGAGACCUUCGGGUCUAGUGGCGCACGGGUGCGUAACGCGUGGGAACCUGCCCUUAGGUUCGGAAUAACUCCCCGAAAGGGGUGCUAAUACCGGAUAAUGUCUUCGGACCAAAGAUUUAUCGCCUUUGGAUGGGCCCGCGUUGGAUUAGCUAGUUGGUAGGGUAAAAGCCUACCAAGGCGACGAUCCAUAGCUGGUCUGAGAGGAUGAUCAGCCACACUGGGACUGAGACACGGCCCAGACUCCUACGGGAGGCAGCAGUGGGGAAUAUUGGACAAGGGGCGAAAGCCUGAUCCAGCAAUGCCGCGUGAGUGAUGAAGGCCUUAGGGUUGUAAAGCUCUUUUACCCGGGAUGAUAAUGACAGUACCGGGAGAAUAAGCGCCGGCUAACUCCGUG
This 433-nucleotide ribosomal RNA is filed under the name uncultured bacterium. Its description in RNAcentral is "partial 16S ribosomal RNA". It matches the Rfam family "Bacterial small subunit ribosomal RNA", at positions 29 to 507 of the family's 1533-position model. The record is from RNAcentral.